GCCCCCUUAGCUCAGUUGGUAGAGCACAUCCAUGGUAAGGAUGAGGUCUUCGGUUCGAAUCCGAAAGGGGGCU
Molecule: transfer RNA, 73 nt
Filed under: Acidimicrobiia bacterium
Lineage: Bacteria; Bacillati; Actinomycetota; Acidimicrobiia
Description: tRNA-Thr
Rfam family: tRNA
About the family: Transfer RNA (tRNA) molecules are approximately 80 nucleotides in length. Their secondary structure includes four short double-helical elements and three loops (D, anti-codon, and T loops).
Source: RNAcentral